CCUACGGGAGGCAGCAGUGAGGAAUAUUGGUCAAUGGGCGGGAGCCUGAACCAGCCAAGUCGCGUGAGGGACGACGGUCCUAUGGAUUGUAAACCUCUUUUGUCGGGGAACAAAGGCGCCCACGGGUGGGCGGAUGAGUGUACCCGAAGAAAAAGCAUCGGCUAACUCCGUGCCAGCAGCCGCGGUAAUACGUAGGUGGCAAGCGUUGUCCGGAUUUACUGGGUGUAAAGGGCGUGCAGCCGGGAAGACAAGUCAGAUGUGAAAUCCCGCGGCUCAACCGCGGAACUGCAUUUGAAACUGUUUUUCUUGAGUACCGGAGAGGUCAUCGGAAUUCCUGGUGUAGCGGUGAAAUGCGUAGAUAUAAGGAAGAACACCAGUGGCGAAGGCGGAUGACUGGACGGCAACUGACGGUGAGGCGCGAAAGCGUGGGGAGCAAACAGGAUUAGAUACCCGAGUAGUC
This 460-nucleotide ribosomal RNA is filed under the name uncultured bacterium. Its description in RNAcentral is "partial 16S ribosomal RNA". It matches the Rfam family "Bacterial small subunit ribosomal RNA", at positions 338 to 795 of the family's 1533-position model. The record is from RNAcentral.